Molecule: non-coding RNA, 159 nt
Submitted as: unclassified sequences
Source: Rfam
UUUGGGCGUACAACGACGAGGACGUGUCCUCAACGUAGAGCUCAGGGAAAUGAACCUCACUAACAGCAAAUCUAUUGGGAUUUGGAAAAGUGGAACAUAAAGCGUUGGGUAGAGUUUGGUAGGGCAUAUUCAGAUAUGCAGCCGAAGAAGUCAGACCCA